CAUUUUCUUCUCUCUCUCUCUCUAGUCUCAGCUCUCUCUAUUCUUUUCUCUCUACUCUCUCAUCUCUCCCUAAACCACCACAUAUUCUAACUCCACCAUAAAACCCAGGUUUCCAAUUGAACUUUAACUGGAACCUUUAAACCUUCAACCAAUGUUCAUUCAAUGAUGAACACUAAUCCAUAACCCUAUAAUAUUCACCGUCCCACUUAAAAUCCUAGGAACCCCAGCAACUUCUGGGUAAACCCUAACACACCCAGAAAAACCCUAACCCUACAAACACAUGAACCCUACUUAUGAACCCUAACCCUAACACGAACCCAGAAAGAACCCUAACAUGUGACCUUCAUAACCUACCCGGAUUCUUCAUCAUGUUCAUCAUGAACAUGAUGAACCUUCACCAUCAACCUUCAACCCUAACCCUAAAAUUCCGGAACUUUCCCAAAUCAAACCUAAUCACGAUACCAACAAUAGUGAAUCAAAGAUCUCAUCCCCUCAACCCCAAAUCAAACAUCAAAAACAAACAAAUCCAAACUAAGUUCUGAAACCCUAAAUUCAAUAAACUGAAACCUUAAAUCCUAUUCAACAACAUAAACUAAAAUAAAGCAACAUCAUUAAAUGCAAGCAGUUAACAACAAACAAUGAGUAAGGGAAAAAUCCACAACCUAUAGAGACGAGAUUCUCUCUGGUAAGGUCUGAUUGGGAGCUUAAGCUCAAGAGACUUAGGGUUUUAAUGAAAAACCCUAAGUAUCAAUAUGACAAGAGCUUUGGUGUUUGGUGGUGGAUCGUAGCAACAAUUUAGGUUUUUAGGAUUCUCUUUUUUUUCGUCCCCUUUUCAAUUUUAAUUUGAGGUUUUUAUAGAUAAAUUAUUAGGUUUAGAAUAUAUGUUGAUUGAUUUAGAUUAGGAAUUUUAGGAUUUUAUUUUAUCAGUUUUUUAGGGUUUCUGAAAUGUUGUAAAUGUAAAUUUUUGUAUCUGGUCCAAUUUAUCUUGUAAGCUUUGAUUCAAAUGUAUAUGGAUUCAAAUUUGGAAAUUUUUUAUUA
Lathyrus oleraceus (garden pea) is the source of this 1038-nucleotide long non-coding RNA. RefSeq lists it as uncharacterized. The transcript is spliced from 2 exons. Lineage: Eukaryota; Viridiplantae; Streptophyta; Magnoliopsida; Fabales; Fabaceae. The record is from RefSeq and is a predicted model, not a curated record.